GACCUGCGGAAGGAUCAUUACUAGAGCAAAGGACAGGCAGCGCCCCACAGAAGCUUGCUUCGUGGCGGGGCUACCCUACUUCGGUAGGGUUUAGAGCCGUCGACCCUCUCGGAGAAGGUCGGUCCUGAACUCCACCCUUGAAUAAACUACCUUUGUUGCUUUGGCGGGCCGCCUCGCGCCAGCGGCUUCGGCUGUUGAGUGCCCGCCAGAGGACCACAACUCUUGUUUUUAGUGAUGUCUGAGUACUAUAUAAUAGUUAAAACUUUCAACAACGGAUCUCUUGGUUCUGGCAUCGAUGAAGAACGCAGCGAAAUGCGAUAAGUAAUGUGAAUUGCAGAAUUCAGUGAAUCAUCGAAUCUUUGAACGCACAUUGCGCCCUCUGGUAUUCCGGGGGGCAUGCCUGUUCGAGCGUCAUUAUAACCACUCAAGCUCUCGCUUGGUAUUGGGGUUCGCGGUUUCGCGGCUCCUAAAAUCAGUGGCGGUGCCUGUCGGCUCUACGCGUAGUAAUACUCCUCGCGUCUGGGUCCGGUAGGUCUACUUGCCAGCAACCCCCAAUUUUUACAGGUUGACCUCGGAUCAGGUAGGGAUACCCGCUGAACUUAAGCAUAUCAAUAAGCGGAGGAAAGAAACCAACAGGGAUUACCUCAGUAACGGCGAGUGAAGCGGUAACAGCUCAAAUUUGAAAGCUAGCUCUUUUAGGGUUCGCAUUGUAAUUUGUAGAAGAUGCUUCGGGUGUGGCCCCGGUCUAAGUUCCUUGGAACAGGACGUCAUAGAGGGUGAGAAUCCCGUAUGUGACUGGGUGCUUUCGCUCAUGUGAAGCUCUUUCGACGAGUCGAGUUGUUUGGGAAUGCAGCUCAAAAUGGGUGGUAAAUUUCAUCUAAAGCUAAAUAUUGGCCAGAGACCGAUAGCGCACAAGUAGAGUGAUCGAAAGAUGAAAAGCACUUUGGAAAGAGAGUUAAACAGUACGUGAAAUUGUUGAAAGGGAAGCGCUUGCAACCAGACUUGCGCGCUGAUGAUCAUCCGGGCUUCUGCCCGGUGCACUCGUCUGCGCUCAGGCCAGCAUCGGUUUCGGUGGUGGGAUAAAGGCCUUGGGAAUGUAGCUCCUCUCGGGGAGUGUUAUAGCCCUCGGUGCAAUGCCGCCUACCGGGACCGAGGACCGCGCUCGGCUAG
This 1170-nucleotide ribosomal RNA is filed under the name Cadophora sp. AS2-1. RNAcentral's name for it is "eukaryotic LSU rRNA". The stretch from base 567 to 1170 matches the Rfam family "Eukaryotic large subunit ribosomal RNA", at positions 1 to 609 of the family's 3401-position model. Lineage: Eukaryota; Fungi; Ascomycota; Leotiomycetes; Helotiales; Ploettnerulaceae. The record is from RNAcentral.